AUUGAUUUAAGUUAAUUUUGAAAUAUAAGCAAAUUCAUGAAUGUAUCGAUCCUCAUUUUUUUUUUGUUAUCAUUUUGCGAGUAUCAAAAUUUAGAAUUUCUUUUUGCAUAUACACAACAUGUAAAAAAAAUAUCUUAUUUCAACCCAUGUAUAAAAUUGUCUAUGGCCAUAUGUCUCGACUCCCUCAAAAAUAAAUUGGGCAAACAGUGUAUCUCCGGCAAUAAAAUUGGGCGCUCAGGCCAAAAGUAACACAAUUGGUGUUUUUAAAUAAUUCGAGGUAUUGAUUGAAAGUAUGAAAUGAUUUUCGCCACAUACUUGGGGGGACAGUUUUGUUAAUUGCCGAAACCAAAAUGAUGGUAACUAAUGCUCUUAUGUGUAUCGUACCACUCUUUAUGAGAAUGAAUACUGGCGCGACUCUGAAUUCUGCUGUUAUUCGGCCUGUGAAAGAAGAGAGAUUGGCUCGAUAAUUAAUGGGUAUUCCGAUGUAAAUGGUGGUGCAGGUGCCGAAUUUAUUAGUAUUCCCAAUUCUUAUAUAGGAAGGUGGAGGAGAGGGUUUGCCGGGAAAAAGUGAAGAAGAUUCUGACGAGAAGAAGCUUCGAAUGGUGCCGUUUCAUGUAAAAAGCUAGGUGCAUUCUGAUUCGGUCUUUUUGUGGGCUGUGAGUUCGAGCUAUCCUUCAUUCUUCCCCCUUCCUUUUCGCAUGUUGUUUUAUGGAUUUGUUUGUUAAUACGUUUCACUUGCUAUACAGAAAUGUUUUUAUAAUUUAAAGGUAAAGUUAUCUACUGUUUCAACUUUGAUUUACUUUAUCAAAAAUAAAUAUUGCACCUUUGAUGGAAAACUUCAAGGAGGAUCUACGACUAUCAAUUUAAGCUGCUGUGUUCCAUAGAAUUGUUGAUUUCCUUCUACUCCAUGUCUUCAUAUUUGAUUAAGUUGAUGCUCCAAUAUCCUUCAGAUUCAUUCAGAGUUCUAGUUUUAUAGAGAGUAUACUACUUUCAAAGAUAUUCCCUCCUUUGUAUUUGACUCGACAAAUAUAGUUGAAUAGUGAACAAUUAAGGUAGUUUACUUUUAUCAUUCUCUAACGCAAUAUGGGGGUCAUUUAAGUAAAAUUUUCUAUAAUUGAUUGGAUAAUGUUCAAGUGGAGCUUUUUU
This 1146-nucleotide long non-coding RNA is filed under the name Panax ginseng (ginseng). RNAcentral's name for it is "long non-coding RNA (PGIN_LNC014142)". The record is from RNAcentral. Lineage: Eukaryota; Viridiplantae; Streptophyta; Magnoliopsida; Apiales; Araliaceae.